UUCGGUCCCUAUCUGCCGUGGGCGCUGGAGAACUGAGGGGGGCUGCUCCUAGUACGAGAGGACCGGAGUGGACGCAUCACUGGUGUUCGGGUUGUCAUGCCAAUGGCACUGCCCGGUAGCUAAAUGCGGAAGAGAUAAGUGCUGAAAGCAUCUAAGCACGAAACUUGCCCCGAGAUGAGUUCUCCCUGAGACUUUAGGUCUCCUGAAGGAACGUUGAAGACGACGACGUUGAUAGGCCGGGUGUGUAAGCGCAGCGAUGCGUUGAGCUAACCGGUACUAAUGAACCGUGAGGCUUAACCUUACAACGCCGAAG
This 313-nucleotide ribosomal RNA is filed under the name Salmonella enterica subsp. enterica serovar Bareilly str. CFSAN000185. RNAcentral describes it as "bacterial LSU rRNA". It matches the Rfam family "Bacterial large subunit ribosomal RNA", at positions 2630 to 2925 of the family's 2925-position model. The record is from RNAcentral. Lineage: Bacteria; Pseudomonadati; Pseudomonadota; Gammaproteobacteria; Enterobacterales; Enterobacteriaceae.